Molecule: ribosomal RNA, 371 nt
Filed under: uncultured bacterium
Lineage: Bacteria
Description: bacterial SSU rRNA
Rfam family: Bacterial small subunit ribosomal RNA
Source: RNAcentral
GUAGGUGGCAAGCGUUAUCCGGAAUUAUUGGGCGUAAAGCGCGCGCAGGCGGUUUCUUAAGUCUGAUGUGAAAGCCCACGGCUCAACCGUGGAGGGUCAUUGGAAACUGGGAGACUUGAGUGCAGGAGAGAAAAGUGGAAUUCCACGUGUAGCGGUGAAAUGCGUAGAGAUGUGGAGGAACACCAGUGGCGAAGGCGGCUUUUUGGCCUGUAACUGACGCUGAGGCGCGAAAGCGUGGGGAGCAAACAGGAUUAGAUACCCUGGUAGUCCACGCCGUAAACGAUGAGUGCUAGGUGUUGGGGGGUUCCACCCUCAGUGCUGACGUUAACACAUUAAGCACUCCGCCUGGGGAGUACGGCCGCAAGGCUGAA